This is an RNA transcript of Oncorhynchus keta (chum salmon), 2275 nucleotides long. It is a transcript of the gene named receptor-transporting protein 2-like, with no coding region annotated. The record is from RefSeq and is a predicted model, not a curated record. The transcript is spliced from 4 exons. Lineage: Eukaryota; Metazoa; Chordata; Actinopteri; Salmoniformes; Salmonidae.
GCAUUCCUGUUGAAGGCAACAGUUUUAAGAAAGCUAUGUGCAUAACUGCCAGGUCAUUCUUAGCUACAGUAUAAGUGUGUGUGAAGAAGAAGGAUAACAACAGCAAGGCAAAGGGUUUGGCUACUUCACCAAAAGAGCAAUGACUAACCAAGAAUGGAUUAGGAUUUUUCAAUCAAAGGUCAAUAAUCUGAAGAGGAAUAAGAGAGACCGCUGGCGUAUCGAGUUUGAUGAUUCCAUUAAGGCAGACAAUGUGCAAUUUGGCUGGCAUCAGUACAUCAGUGGGGCAUUUGGAAGGUUCAAGUGCUCCAAGUGUAACAGAAGUUGGUCCUCUGGCCGGGUGAAUGUGGUGUUUCACAUGCAUCUAUCGUCAGGGCAGGGAAUGGUGAAAGUGCGAUGUUUGCGUCAGGAAUGCAGGCAAUGUGACGGCGCUCUUAUGGAGGAGGCCAGUUUCGAUGAGGAGAAACUCGAAGUCCUACUGGAGAAACUGAUGGAGAAGAUUCGUGUCAAGUGCUACCGCGAGAACCUGGGCAAGAGAAACAGACGUGAUUUCGAUGACGAAGACGAUGAAGGUCCCCCCCAUGAGAGUGCCCAUUGCGAAGCCUGCAGUAUGGGCCUUUGCACAAAGCGUUUUAAAGCCUGGUAGAAUAUGGUAGAAAUAGACUGGUAUACGCCCUAAUACACUUUUUAUAAUAUUUCUCUUUGUUUACUUGUCUAUAUCUAGUGGUCAUUGGGUACAUCCUAAUGUCUGAUUUCUAAAGCUAUUUGUUGAUUAAAUAAAUGCAGUGAGACACUGGUGGAACUGGUCGAAGAUAGGUGUGGCUGCACAGGGCACAACGAAAGUGGAAUAAGAGUCUCAGCAACGUGAGAUUAGAGAGGUAGAGAAGGUUCCUCAGCUAUGUGGGGUUAGAGAAGUAGAGAAGGUUCCUCAGCUAUGUGGGGUUAGAGAGGUAGAGAAGGUUCCUCAGCUAUGUGGGGUUAGAGAAGUAGAGAAGGUUCCUCAGCUGUGUGGGGUUAGAGAGGUAGAGAAGGUUCCUCAGCUAUGUGGGGUUAGAGAAGUAGAGAAGGUUCCUCAGCUAUGUGGGGUUAGAGAAGUAGAGAAGGUUCCUCAGCUAUGUGGGGUUAGAGAGGUAGAGAAGGUUCCUCAGCUAUGUGGGGUUAGAGAAGUAGAGAAGGUUCCUCAGCUAUGUGGGGUUAGAGAAGUAGAGAAGGUUCCUCAGCUAUGUGGGGUUAGAGAGGUAGAGAAGGUUCCUCAGCUAUGUGGGGUUAGAGAAGUAGAGAAGGUUCCUCAGCUGUGUGGGGUUAGAGAGGUAGAGAAGGUUCCUCAGCUAUGUGGGGUUAGAGAAGUAGAGAAGGUUCCUCAGCUAUGUGGGGUUAGAGAAGUAGAGAAGGUUCCUCAGCUAUGUGGGGUUAGAGAGGUAGAGAAGAUUCCUCAGCUAUGUGGGGUUAGAGAAGUAGAGAAGGUUCCUCAGCUAUGUGGGGUUAGAGAAGUAGAGAAGGUUCCUCAGCUAUGUGGGGUUAGAGAGGUAGAGAAGGUUCCUCAGCUAUGUGGGGUUAGAGAUGUAGAGAAGGUUCCUCAGCUAUGUGGGGUUAGAGAAGUAGAGAAGGUUCCUCAGCUAUGUGGGGUUAGAGAGGUAGAGAAGGUUCCUCAGCUAUGUGGGGUUAGAGAAGUAGAGAAGGUUCCUCAGCUAUGUGGGGUUAGAGAAGUAGAGAAGGUUCCUCAGCUAUGUGGAGUUAGAGAAGUAGAGAAGGUUCCUCAGCUAUGUGGGGUUAGAGAGGUAGAGAAGGUUCCUCAGCUAUGUGGGGUUAGAGAAGUAGAGAAGGUUACUCAGCUAUGUGGGGUUAGAGAGGUAGAGAAGGUUCCUCUACUUGUGAUUCCUUUGAAGAGGAAAUGGAUUUCCUUUAUUUUGCAGCUGUUCCAGUGUGUGUACAAACAAAGUGUCACGUCCUCACCUUAGUUCCUUUUGUAUGUCUCUAUUUUGGUUUGGUCAGGGCGUGAGUUGGGGUGGGCAUUCUAUAUUUUGUGUUCUAUGUUUUCUAUUUCUAUGUGUUUGACCUGGUAUGGUUCCCAAUCAGAGGCAGCUGUCAAUCAUUGUCUCUGAUUGAGAACCAUACUUAGGUAGCCUUUUCCCACCUGUGUUUUGUGGGUAAUUAUUUUUCUGUGUUUGUGUUGGUGUGCACCUCGGUUGUGUCACAGUCUUUUUCUUCUUGUUUUCUGUUUACCUGUUUGUUUCUUGGUUGUUUCGGUUUCACUUUCAUUAAAAGACGUGGAACUACA